CCAACCCGCUGCCCAGCUAACCAACCCAGCAGUCAUCCAGCUACAUCUUCACCUCUCCAACCACCCACCCAACAACCCAACCAACCACCCAACAAACCAACCAACAACCCAACCACCCAACAUACAACUAACCAACCACUCAACAAGCCAACCAACCACCCAUCCAACAACCCAACCAACCAACCACCCAACCAGUCACCCACCCAACAACCCACCCAACCACCCAACAACCCACCCAACAACNNNNNNNNNNNNNNNNNNNNNNNNNNNCCAGCAGUCAUCCAGCUACAUCUUCACCUCUCCAACCACCCACCCAACAACCCAACCAACCACCCAACAACCCACCCAACAACCCAAAAAAACACACAACAACCCAACCAACCACCCACCCAACCAACCACCCAACCAACAAUCCACCCAACUACCCACCCAAUCAACCACUCAACAACCCAACCACCCACCCAAACAACCACCCAACAACUCAACCAACCACCCAACCAACCACCCACCCACCCAACAACCCACCCAACCAACCACCCAACAACCCACCCAACCACCCAACCAACAGGCCAACCACCCAAACACCCACCCACCCAACCACCCAUCCACCCAACAACCCAACCAACCACCCACCCACUCAACCAACCACCCAACAAACAACCCAACCAACCACCUACCCACCCAACAACCCAACCAAUCACCCAACAACUCAACCAACCACCCAACAACCCACCCAACCAACAACCCAACCACCCAACCAACCAACCACCCAACAGCCCAACCACCCGCCCAACAACCAACCCAACCACCCAACCAACCAACCACCCAACUAACAACCCAACCAACCACCCAAUAACCCACCCAACCAACAACCCAACCACCCAACCAACCAACCACCCAACAGCCCAACCACCCGCCCAACAACCCAACCAACCACCCACCCAACCAACCACCCAACCAACCACUCAACAACCCAACCAACCACCCACCCAAACACUCACCCACCCAAACACCCACCCAACUAACAACCCAACCACCCACCCACCCCACCAACCACACUACAACCCAACCAACCACCCACCCAACCAACCACUCAACAACCCAACCAACCACCCACCCACUCAACCAACCNNNNNNNNNNNNNNCCACUCAACCAACCACCCAACAAACAACCCAACCACCCACCCACCCAACCAACCACCCACCCAACCACUCAACAACCCAACCAACCACCCACCCAACCACCCACCCAACAACCCACCCAACCAACCACCCAACAACCCAACCAAC
This 1290-nucleotide long non-coding RNA is filed under the name Phasianus colchicus (ring-necked pheasant). Its description in RNAcentral is "lncRNA (ENSPCLG00000016648.1)". The record is from RNAcentral. Lineage: Eukaryota; Metazoa; Chordata; Aves; Galliformes; Phasianidae.